RNAcentral lists this long non-coding RNA (449 nucleotides) under Mytilus galloprovincialis (Mediterranean mussel). Lineage: Eukaryota; Metazoa; Mollusca; Bivalvia; Mytilida; Mytilidae. The record is from RNAcentral.
ACGCACACAUAAAAUAAGUAAUUGGAAAGGUACUGCCAUUGCAUGUGUUAUGCAGAAACUAAUUUAAAAUCGAUGUGUACAAUCGUGAAAUUAUGAGGUCGUCAAGAAAUGAACUUUGUGAUAAUCUACUCGUUCCCCAAACCCGAAAUAGUUCUAUCGUCUGCCUUCAAAAUACCUUUUAAAUGAAUGUGACCGUCUUUCGCCUGAUUUCAGCAUGUUUAAGAUAACUAAAUUUCAAAACAACUGUUUACUUUCAGUUUGUGUUUAUCGUGACUGUCGAUGUAAAAUCUAGAGACGUUCCGAAAUCCUGCACUUGUGUCAACUCGGCCAAUACAGAAAAAAAUCUAUACUGGCCGAGUUAUUCUGUAUUGGCCCAGUUUACACAUUAUAUUGCAUAGGCAGUUUUCAUCAUAUUAAGUCCAAUAACAGUGUAGUUAAUUAAUAAAUUU